Molecule: long non-coding RNA, 1133 nt
Organism: Hemicordylus capensis (graceful crag lizard)
Lineage: Eukaryota; Metazoa; Chordata; Lepidosauria; Squamata; Cordylidae
Exons: 2
Source: RefSeq, a predicted model, not a curated record
GGGAAGCGAGUGGGCGGCUGAGAGCUCUCCCGCCGCCCGCUCUAACUUUAGAGCGCAGCCGCCCGGGGAAGGGGACGGGGUCGGCGGGGGAGUUCUCCUGCCGACCCCUUGAGCAUGGGAGCAUGGGAAGGGAAGGGAAGGGGCGGCAGGGGUCCUGGGGCGGCAGGGCCAUUUAAGCCAAGUCGGGGGGCAUUGAAGAGCCGGGCGGCAGGGGCUGGGAGAUACCCUGCCGCCCGAUUGCGUAUUGAUUCAAAGGUAGCAGCAGUAGCAGCCGCGGAGGAGGGGGAAUGAAGCGGGCGGCAGGGAGGUAUGCCGCCCGCUUACUUCAAGAAAUACGGCGGCAUUCUUGAGGGGCAUGACAGAGAGAACCCCGAGUUGGAAAGGCUCACCGUCAUCCCCAUCUUCCUCUGACAGUAUUGCCACACAUUGUUCCCACACAGUACGGACAUCCGCCCGGUAACGUUCACAGGACCAGAUGAAAGAUGGGAGUAGCAGCGUCUGCACCAUGGAGCACCAGAGGACAGCUAGCACCAUCCAGUUGGGGGCAGUGUCAUAGCGUAGGCUGAAAAAGCUCACCACCUAAACACAGAGAGACAACGUGGAUGGAGACAGUGUGAAUAACAUUGCACAAUCAGGAUUCCUAUUUACAACUAAGGUUGGAGACAGAUGGCAGUUUUUAAAGACAGUUAAAUAUGGCCUGAAAAAGGGAUCCGCUGCUCAUGGUGUUUUCACUCACCUCCCUGACAGAAAUAAUUUGCAGGGUUUUAUAAGCAUUCAAUUGAUACUUGCCUGUUUGAUCAGAGGCAAACAAAAAUAAUAUAUGUACAGUAUGGGAAGUCACACCUCCCUCUUUUGGCUUUUCUAGCAAUAUUCCCAGCCCAUGUACUACCAGUGAUAGGAAAAUACUUUUGUGUGUGUGUGUGGGGGGGUGUUUUUUGCCCUCUAUAGAUGAAUGUGAUUUCCCCUCCCGACUCUGUUCCCGAUGAUGAACAUAUCUAGAUGGAAGGGUGAUUUAUUUCCCUCUGCCAGAGAAGCAAAUAUGUCUCUCCAUAGGUUAUUUGAUAUCUGUGAUUGGUUUGUAGAAUUCAAAAACAGAAAGUCAGUAGAGUCUAAAAAUAAAAUAGUUCACAAAG